RNAcentral lists this unclassified non-coding RNA (344 nucleotides) under soil metagenome. RNAcentral describes it as "partial contains 5.8S ribosomal RNA, internal transcribed spacer 2, and large subunit ribosomal RNA". The stretch from base 1 to 120 matches the Rfam family "5.8S ribosomal RNA", at positions 35 to 154 of the family's 154-position model. The record is from RNAcentral.
GAUGAAGAACGCAGUGAAAUGCGAUACGUAAUGUGAAUUGCAGAAUUCAGUGAAUCAUCGAGUCUUUGAACGCACAUUGCGCCCCCUGGUAUUCCGGGGGGCAUGCCUGUCCGAGCGUCAUUGCUGCCCUCAAGCACGGCUUGUGUGUUGGGCCUCCGUCCUCCUCCCGGGGGACGGGCCCGAAAGGCAGCGGCGGCACCGCGUCCGGUCCUCGAGCGUAUGGGCUUCGUCACCCGCUCUUGUAGGCCCGGCCGGCGCUUGCCGACACAUCAAUCUUUUUUCCAGGUUGACCUCGGAUCAGGUAGGGAUACCCGCUGAACUUAAGCAUAUCAAUAAGCGGAGGA